UACGUAGGGGGCGAGCGUUGUCCGGAUUUAUUGGGCGUAAAGAGCGUGUAGGCGGCUUGGUAGGUCUGCUGUGAAAACUCGGGGCUCAACCCCGAGACGCCGGUGGAAACCGUAAAGCUAGAGUCCGGAAGAGGAGAGUGGAAUUCCUGGUGUAGCGGUGAAAUGCGCAGAUAUCAGGAAGAACACCCGUGGCGAAGGCGGCUCUCUGGGACGGUACUGACGCUGAGACGCGAAAGCGUGGGGAGCGAACAGG
RNAcentral lists this ribosomal RNA (253 nucleotides) under uncultured bacterium. RNAcentral's name for it is "partial 16S ribosomal RNA". It matches the Rfam family "Bacterial small subunit ribosomal RNA", at positions 524 to 776 of the family's 1533-position model. The record is from RNAcentral.